AAUUGUUAGACAAUUGCAUUGUUCACUCUCUUAUUAAAUUUAAAAUUAUUAUUUUUCUGCAGUGAUGUAUUGAUCAUAGACUUAAUACAUGUUAAUAAGUCAGGUUUUUAUUUAUGAAAGACUGCAGGGAAAAAUGAUAAUAGUCAAUAUUCCUAAGAUUUUUAGAUUACAAUUUGUAAGUUUCAAAACUCUAAGAUCAGGAGAUAAAAUAUAAGAUAA
Non-coding RNA from Cinara cedri, 219 nucleotides. The record is from the annotation of a GenBank genome assembly. Lineage: Eukaryota; Metazoa; Arthropoda; Insecta; Hemiptera; Aphididae.